Molecule: ribosomal RNA, 366 nt
Filed under: uncultured bacterium
Lineage: Bacteria
Description: partial 16S ribosomal RNA
Rfam family: Bacterial small subunit ribosomal RNA
Source: RNAcentral
AGUGGCGAACGGGUGAGUAACACGUGGGUGACCUGCCCUGCACUUCGGGAUAAGCCUGGGAAAAUGGGUCUAAUACCGGAUAGUGUGGGAUGGGCCAGCGGCCUAUCAGCUUGUUGGUGGGGUAAUGGCCUACAAAGGCGGCGACGGAUAGCCGGCCUGAGCGGGUGGAAGGUCACAUUGUGACUGAGACACGGCACAGACUCCUACUGGAGGCAGCAGUGGGGAUGAUUGCAAAAUGUGCGGAAGCCUGAUGCAGCGACGCUGUGGGGGUGAUGACGGCCUUAGGGUUGUAAACGCCUUGCACCAUCGACGAGUUAGAGGGUGAAGAAGCACCGGCUAACGACGUGCCAGCAGCCGCGGUAAUUC